RNAcentral lists this ribosomal RNA (396 nucleotides) under uncultured bacterium. RNAcentral's name for it is "partial 16S ribosomal RNA". It matches the Rfam family "Bacterial small subunit ribosomal RNA", at positions 523 to 918 of the family's 1533-position model. The record is from RNAcentral.
AUACGUAGGGGGCGAGCGUUGUCCGGAAUGAUUGGGCGUAAAGGGCGCGUAGGCGGCGCGGUAAGUCUGGAGUGAAAGUCCUGCUUUCAAGGUGGGAAUUGCUUUGGACACUGCCGCGCUUGAGUGCAGGAGAGGUUAUCGGAAUUCCCGGUGUAGCGGUGAAAUGCGUAGAUAUUAGGAGGAACACCAGUGGGGAAGGCGGAUUGCUGGACGGCAACUGACUGUGAGGCGCGAAAGUGUGGGGAGCAAACAGGAUUAGAUACCCUGGUAGUCCACACUGUAAACGAUGGAUACUAGGUGUGCGGGGACUGACCCCCUGCGUGCCGUCGUUAACACAAUAAGUAUCCCACCUGGGGAGUACGAUCGCAAGGUUGAAACUCAAAUGAAUUGGCGGGG